AAAAUYUAAUAAGGGUGCUUUCCUCAGAUCUSUUUUSCCYGCKGGCCCCSSCCRMMAGGGGUGAUGRAUAUUUUUYYSGWWMRCCCUUAGAGUUUGAUCCUGGCUCAGAACGAACGCUGGCGGCGUGCUUAACACAUGCAAGUCGAACGUGAUUGAGAGCUUGCUCUCAUGAAAGUGGCGCACGGGUGAGUAACACGUGGAUAAUCUGCCUGGCGAUUCGGGAUAACACUUCGAAAGGGGUGCUAAUACCGGAUAAGCCCACGGUCUCUUCGGAGAGCGCGGGAAAAGGGGGCCUCUGUAUAUGCUCCUGUCGCUAGAUGAGUCCGCGGCCCAUUAGCUAGUUGGUAGGGUAAUGGCCUACCAAGGCUACGAUGGGUAGCUGGUCUGAGAGGAUGAUCAGCCACACUGGAACUGAGACACGGUCCAGACUCCUACGGGAGGCAGCAGUGGGGAAUUUUGCGCAAUGGGCGAAAGCCUGGCGCAGCAACGCCGCGUGAGUGAUGAAGGCCUUCGGGUCGUAAAGCUCUGUCAGAGGGGAAGAACCGCCGGGUGGCUAAUACCUGCCUGGUCUGACGGUACCCUCAAAGGAAGCACCGGCUAACUCCGUGCCAGCAGCCGCGGUAAUAC
Molecule: ribosomal RNA, 627 nt
Filed under: uncultured Geobacteraceae bacterium
Lineage: Bacteria; Pseudomonadati; Thermodesulfobacteriota; Desulfuromonadia; Geobacterales; Geobacteraceae
Description: bacterial SSU rRNA
Rfam family: Bacterial small subunit ribosomal RNA (bases 82-627)
Source: RNAcentral